This is a long non-coding RNA of Gossypium arboreum, 740 nucleotides long. RefSeq lists it as uncharacterized. The transcript has 2 exons. NCBI's taxonomy places the organism in Eukaryota, Viridiplantae, Streptophyta, Magnoliopsida, Malvales, Malvaceae. The record is from RefSeq and is a predicted model, not a curated record.
AAAAGAAAACUUUUUAACUUUUAUUUAAAAAAAAAAAACCCCUAAAUGCCUUGGAUAUUAUCUCAUCUCCCUCACUCUCCCUUUAUUCUCCAGCUGAAAGGCUCCUUUCAAGCCCCCAUCCACUCCCAAAAUCUGUUCGUGACCAACGGAGCUAGUCCUAUCGACGGCGUGAAUGCGAUAUAACUCCGGUAUGUAUGGCGUGGAGAGAAACCGUUCGUGGGUGUGCUGGCGUGGAAGAGUGGUGGAGAACAUGGGUGCAUGGUGGUGCUGAAAAUAGUUGUGGGCUAGGUUUAGGAAAAUUGGGCUUUCUGCUUUGGGCUGUUUUGAUUAGGCCCAGGCAAAAAUUGGGCCUUGCACCCUGUUUGGCCAGAUGAUGUGCCACCUCAUUAGCAUGCCUCUUUCUUUGUUGAAACCUACAUUGCUGAACCUGUUUAGCAAGUAUUCAACUCUUUGCUAUCAAGGUCCGAUUGUUGGUAGGUCUUCUUUGUCUUCCUUCAACUUCGAAACCACUUAGAGAGCAUCUCCUUUAAUAAUAAUGUGUUGUAAUCCCAAUUGGAGCCCUAUUUCAAUGGCUACGGUGGAAGCUAGUGCUUCGGUAACUUUAGUAAGGAUUAGUUCUCCAUUACCGUUGUAGUUGAAAAGUGGUAGAAAAGUGCUAUGAAAAAAUGUACUCAUUAGUUUUUGGUGUUCUCCGUUACUACAAAAAAUUCCCAUUAAAAGUCUAUCAUGUCUAAAGAAAA